CCCCUAGAUGUUCUGGGCCGCACGCGCGCUACACUGAACAGUUCAACAAGUCUUAACCUUGGCCGAUAGGUCUGGGUAAUCUUUGAACGCUGUUCGUGAUUGGGAUAGACCUUUGCAAUUAUGGGUCUUCAACGAGGAAUUCCUAGUAAACGCAAGUCAUCAGCUUGCAUUGAUUACGUCCCUGCCCUUUGUACACACCGCCCGUCGCUCCUACCGAUUGAGUGAUUCGGUGAAUAAUUCGGACUGCAGCAAUGUUUGGAUCCCGAACGUUGCAGCGGAAAGUUUAGUGAACCUCAUCACUUAGAGGAAGGAGAAGUCGUAACA
This 324-nucleotide ribosomal RNA is filed under the name uncultured eukaryote. RNAcentral describes it as "partial 18S ribosomal RNA". It matches the Rfam family "Eukaryotic small subunit ribosomal RNA", at positions 1470 to 1796 of the family's 1831-position model. The record is from RNAcentral.